Molecule: long non-coding RNA, 4888 nt
Organism: Acanthochromis polyacanthus (spiny chromis)
Lineage: Eukaryota; Metazoa; Chordata; Actinopteri; Pomacentridae
Exons: 8
Source: RefSeq, a predicted model, not a curated record
UUUCCCUCCAAAACAAUCCUAACCUUAACCAAUCUCCAUCUUGAGCAGUUGGAUGGCUUGACAUUCCCAUGGUGUUGAUCUGUGCAUGUAAUUGUUUGGACAGAUAAACAUCAAACCACAGCAAUCUGGAAACUGCACCCAAGGAUGAACCACACCUGUGGAGGCCCACAAAUGUCUUCCUGAUGUCUUGGCUGAUUUCUUUAGAUUUUCUAAUGUCGUCACACAAGGAAGCAGUGUGUUUGAGGUGUGCCUGAAAAUACAUCUUAAUCUAUCAAAAGCUUUCAAAGUCAGGACAUCAUUAUCUUUAAGGCAUAGCAAUCUUAGUGUGUGCAAACUUCUGAUUGUAGAAUAGAAUAGAAUUACUUCAUUGAUCCCCGAAGGGAAAUUCAAUUGUUUGGUCUUAUCUUUUUGCUUUUGAAUUAAACAGUCCGAUUGCUGAUGGCAAGAAAGAUUUCCUGAAUCUUUCUGUCCUGCAGCAGGGAUAGGAGCCGUCCACCGAUGUUUUGUUGUUCGCUGAGCCAAAUGUGAAGUGGAUGAUCCAUGUUUGUCAGAAUGGCCUCCAUCUUGUUCAGUUCCCCCUCUCUCCACCUCAUCCUCCAGUGUGUUCAAUCCGAUUCCAACUACAGAGCCAAUAAGUUUGUUCAGACGCCUUGCAUCCUGAGAGGGGUCUGGCUGCAGACCUCCACUCUCAGGACUCUUCCUUGCACACCUGCACUGUAAAGUCUCCUCCACUCUCAGGACCGGAAGUUUAUUCGAAGCCUUUCAAAAUAAAAGCGAGCAUGCCGGAAGCACGUAUUUUGUGUUUCCCAUGUGAAGUACGGAGACAACAAAGUGAGUAAAAGUCAAGUGACAACUUUUUGUUAUACGAAGAAACAGAAACAGCCUUUAUUCACUACAACAUUACGUUGCACACUAUAGACCCCUUUCACAUGACGUAUGCAUACUUAAUUCGGCAGCUGCACGCACAGACCCGGUUCAAAACAAAGCCUGUUUACCUGGCCAAGGCGUGAUAUUGCAAGCACAUAUUACGCUAAAUAUGCCUUCUUGUUGUGCUGUCGGCUGUCAGAAUCGUAGUAAAGCAGAUGAUAUGGCAGCUGUGAGAGCGACCAGGUGGAACUUGCUUUGUUACCGCGGCUAAACAUUUGGUUUACUUAAUACUGAUUUCCACGUUCUCCGGAGCAGUCGUUACGUUGAUAUUACAGUUCCUGCUGAUAUACCGGAAAUGCCCUGAGCCCAUUAGCAGGACAGUGCAGUAUGUCAAAGUAGUGCCUGAUAACGCAUUGAAGGAUUACUUUAAUACCCAACAUGCCGAACCAGGCCAGCAGCAACAGGACAGCACAUCAUCUGCUGCAUCCAAACAGCAAGAGGCUGUGUCCAGCAGGCAGCAGGAGGCGGGUGUCAGCAGCGGCAGCCCCAAACAACAGCUGCCACCGCCUUCUCAAAGCGAACCCAUUGAUUCGGCCAAAGCCGAGACGUGCAAUUUCCUAAACGCUAUCUUUCUGUUCUUGUUCAGGGAACUCCGAGACACCCCAGUCAUCAGACACUGGCUCACCCAUUAAAUUAAAGUGGAAUGUGGAGGAGCUCCUGCACCGGGUCUGCGCGCGCAUACCUUGUGUUAGUAAACACUGCAAGGGGUCUAUACAUCGCCCUGUUAAGUUAUAUUAAUUUGAAAGAAUCGAGUUUUGGACUUUACGGUAGUUUGUAGCGUUGUUAUCGUAGUUAGGCUAACGGUAGCUAGCGCUAACCAGGUUGAUUCACUCGGUUGAUUAGCCUCUGAAGGCACUCUGUACUAUUUAGACAUAUAUGGGAUUAGCUUGACAUUAGAAGGCUUUCACUGUCAUUUGCAAACAGCAUUUGCACAAAAAUUAUUUUGUCCCGGGCAUUUUGAUCCAUAUAAGCGGUUGAUAAGUAACGUUAUCCAUGAUCACUACAACGUUAACUGGUUUCCACUGUAUAAUAACUUGUUGAAGUCAUCUUGUGCCCGCGAUAGUGCUCACUAAAAUGUGCCAUUGUCCUGCUAGAAGACCAAAACAACUGAGUCACCAUACAUAUUUUUGUAUAAUUUUGUUUGACUUAUUACGACAUAAUUUUUCUCUUGCAGAUGCAUAUUUCAGUCCUAACAGCUGGCAGCACACCCAAAAUUGAACGCUGCAAGACAUGCUGCAAACAAUUCCACUGUCCGCUGUGCCUAAAGUUUAAACCUGCCAAACUGUCCAAGCUGCAGAGCCACUUGGAGGCACACAAAAAAGGUGGCAUUUUAUUUAAAGAAACCUUUGCCAGUCAAUUAAUCCCGGAGUGUGGAAUGAGAAGACUGGCUUAGACAUACAGGGAUUUCCACGACAGCCCUAUGGGCAGGACUGUGGCAUCUUCAUGCUGAUGUAUGCCCUUUACACAGUUCUGGACGCUCCAUAUGAUUUCACCAUAGCUGACAUGCCAACCCUGUGAAAAUGGUGGUGUGUCAUGCUCAUUGAAAACUUUGAUCUUGGAAGCCAUGGUAAAAUGUUUGCCCAUUGGACACACAUGUCAAAAGCCCUUCUGGCAGGUGAGGUGCCACCAGUUUUUAGACUGAAGCAAAAACUGGAUGACAUGACUGAGGCUGAGGAGAGGAAGAAAAUGUGCCACCAGGUAGAGACAACGGAACCAGCUCACCAGGUGGAGACAACUGAAGAAGAGACCAGUAUGGUGGGCCAAGUUGUGGCCCACUGCAAACAAGCAGCGGAAUGGGUGCAGGGGAACCCACAACUGUUUACAGCCAGGGUGGAGAUGCCAGAAAUUUGAAACAUGGACAGCAGAUCUAUUGAGGAGGCUCAACAGCAACUGGCAAACUUGUUUGAUGCCACCCAGGACAUUGAUGAUGAUGAGAAAGAAUUCAUUCUGGAGCCCUUCAAGUUUUUAUUUUGCAACAUUGAGGAUAUGUUUGUCUUCUGUGAAGAGGUUAUGGAUAACCGACGCAACAGGUUGCAGGUUUGCAAGGAAGGGUCCUAAAAGUGGAGGUCUGCAGCCAGACUGUCUUGUGCAUCCUUGUUCUUUAUACUGCCUCCCCAGCAGACUUCAGCAUAAAACAGGACACCUGCUACCACAGACUGAUAAAACAUCUGCAGCAUCUUACUGGCAGAUGUCUAUUGAUCGAAGUCUUCUGAGGAAAAAAAGUCGGCUCUGGCCCUUUUUGUAGAUCAAAUCUGCAUUUUUAGACCAGUCUAAUUCAUUGUCAAGGUGGACACCUAAAUAUUUAUAUGAUGUCACCACCUCCAUGUCAACACCACAAGUGUUCACUGGAUGAAGAGGGGUUUUGAAUCUGCGGAAAUCUAUGAUCAUUUCCUUUGUCUUUGAGGCGUUGAGAAGCAGGCAGUUUUUGAGACUCCAGUCACUGAAGGCACUUAUCAGAUCUCUGUAUUCAGCUUCAUGUCCAUUUCUGAUACAUGCCACGAUAGCAGUGUCAUCAGAGUAUUUCUGAAUGUGGCAGGACUCAGUGCUGUAUUUGAAGUCAGAUGUAUACAGAGUGAACAGGAAUGGAGCCAGAACUGUUCCUUGUGGAGCCCCAGUACUACUCAUUAAUGUCUCAGAAACACAGUUCCCCAGCCUGACAAACUGCAGCCUUCCUGUCAGGUAAUCUGUGAUCCAUGAAACACAGAAAGGAUCCACUCCCAUCUCUGUGAGCUUGUCUUUGAGGAUGGUGGGUUGGAUGGAGUUGAAUGCAUUAGAAAAAUCAAAUAACUUGAUUCUCACAUAAACUUCAGGUUCCUCCAGAUGAGACAGGGCACGGUGAAGCAUGAAGAGGAUGGCAUCAUCCACUCCAAUGUGUUCUUUGUAAGCAAACUGCAAGGAACCGAGUUUGUCUUUGACCUCAAGCCUCAGUAGAGGUAAAACCAGCUGCGCCAGAGUUUUUAUGAUGUGUGAGGUCAGAGCAAUAGGUCUGUAGUCAUUUAGUUCAGCCGGACAUUUGAUUUUUGGUACCGGUACAAUACAGGAUGUUAUUCAUAGAGCAGGCAGCCUUUGCAGGUAGGACUGUGUCUCUACAGAAGCUGAUGUAUUCACUAAAACAAUUAACCUGUCUGUCAGUGUUCAUACUGUCCUCGUCUGUUUCCAGAAGCACAUUCCAGUCUGUUGAUUCAAAGCAGUCCCUUAGAGCUUCACUAGCUUGAGGAGUCUGUCCUCUGAUUUGGACUUUAGUUGCAGACUGUCUCAGCACACAAGGUUUGUAACAGGUCUGCAGAUGAACCAGGUUAUGAUCUGACCUGCCCAGUGGUGGUAAGGCAGUAGCUCUGUAAGCUUCUUUGACAUUGGCAUACAGCAGGUCUAGGGUUUUAUUCUCUCUGGUAGGGCAGUUAAACUGUGUAAAUCCAGUCAGAUGAGAUGAGAGGCUGAUAUGAUUGAAAUCUCCUGAUAUUAUUACAAGUGCCUCAGGAUGUUGAGUCUGUAUCCUAGCAACAGUAUCACGAAAAGCAUCACAUGGAACCAAGUCAGUUACCUUGGGUGGAAUGUAUACAAGUAUUGUUAUGAUGUGACCCUUGGAACAUAGUAUGGCUAAAGUCCAUAGUCAAGUCCAAGAUUGUGAAGAAAGUAAUAAAAAUUCUAUUAAAAAAAUCUCUUUCCUUAUUCUGGCAUUUAAAGAUAAUUUUGGUCAUCUUAACUGACAUAAAACAGGAGAAGCAUUGCCAGAUUUAAUGUCAGAUCGUGUAAAUUAAAAAAAGGGUUAUGUGUCAUUCAUACAGUGUAAGUAAACUUCUGGGUUCAACUGUCUGAAUUUCUUGAGAAGGAAAAGGCUGGUAAACUCACAAUGCUCAAAAGUAUUAUUCUCUACCAAAGAAAAUGCUGCUCUUUACCUUCCUGAACAACUUGCUUGAAAAACAAGACUUUUCUUCCGUUACUUAUCUUCAUCACCAUGUAA